UGCAUGCUUUUACAGUAUGGAAAUUGGUGAUUUAUAAUAACUUAGCAAAUCGCAAAGUGAAAACAGGCGAUAAAUCAUUCAAGUUUCUGACCUAUCAGCUUUCGACGGUAUGGUAUUGGCUUACCGUGGCAGUGACGGUUAACGGGGGAUUAGGGUUCGAUUCCGGAGAGGGAGCCUGAGAAACGGCUACCACAUCUAAGGAAGGCAGCAGGCGCGCAAAUUACCCAAUUCUAACAGUUUAAGAGAGGUAGUAACAAGAAAUAACAAUACAAGGCAAUUAAAAUGCUUUGUAAUUGGAAUGAUAGAAAUUUAAACCCUUUUUAAAGUAUCAAUUGGAGGGCAAGUCUGGUGCCAGCAGCCGCGGUAAUUCCAGCUCCAAUAGCGUAUAUAAAAAUUGUUGCAGUUAAAAAGCUCGUAUUUGAAGUUCUGCUAAAAGUAACCGGUCUGCUUUUAAUAAAAGUGGUAUCUUGGUGUGUAUUUAGCAAUGAUGUCCUUUGAAGUGUUUUUUACUUUAUUGUAAUAAAGCAUAUUCAGGACUUUUACUUUGAGAAAAUUAGAGUGUUUCUAGCAGGCCAACGCUUUGAAUACUGCA
This 592-nucleotide ribosomal RNA is filed under the name Hepatozoon canis. RNAcentral describes it as "bacterial SSU rRNA". It matches the Rfam family "Eukaryotic small subunit ribosomal RNA", at positions 225 to 806 of the family's 1831-position model. Lineage: Eukaryota; Apicomplexa; Hepatozoidae. The record is from RNAcentral.